GGGGCAGACAGGUGCGUCCAGGUGAGGCUCUGUCUUGGAAACAUUCCAUGGCUGUUACUCCAGACCCUACCCUCUGCCUCAACCCAAGACAGACCAGGACAACAAGAUGGGUGGGUAACUGUGGGGUGGUGUCUAUCUGUGUUCUGAGAGAGGAGUGGCAUCAAAGGAGAAGCAAGGACUGAGAAUUGGCUUGGGGGCAGGGAAGGAGGUACAGGCAUUGUCGAAGUAGGGCUAAGGAAGGAGUGGGGAGUUGUUGCAAAACCCUGGGGCCUGACCAUGUUGCAUGUCAUACAAUCUGCCUUACUGAGAGACCCCCAAAUGGUUUCCCUCUCUCUCUCUGUGAAGAAGUAUUAAGUACAGCCUCGCCAAAUUUCAUUCAGUCUUAGACCUGAGCUCUACAGGGGAGGAGAUAGCCGCCUAUGGUAGUAGCACAGGUCAGAAGAAAAACCUGAAAGAGGUGGAGAGAAGAGGCUAAGAGGAGUGUGGCUCAGACAAUGGAUAGUCCACUUCACAUCAAAAGUCUCUUCCUGGACCUCUUACAGUGGAAGUUAAUACUUCCUGUUCUUCCAGUAUUCUGGAUUGUCUUCAGUUUCCAAAAGGCAAGGCUGACACCUCCCAGGGGUCCAAGUAGGGGAAGUUAGGGCCUCCCUCCCUCAUCUACUCAAUGCUAGCCCAAGCUAAGAGAGAAGAAAUCCUAGCUCAGAGCAGCAAAGCCACAGACCUUUGUUAAUACUCUCACAUAGGAGGGGGAAGGGCGACAGGAAUGGAGGCGAGGUGAGUCUAAAAGCUAAGACCUAGAAUUCUGUAACUUUUUUAGGUUUGCUGUUAUUUUGUGACCACAACACAUAAGAAUUUAUUUUUAAAGUGCCAUUACAACCUAUGCUUUGGGAAAAUAUUUUGUGGCCAACUCUGUAAUUGCAUUAUAGACUUAUUCAGUAGGUGAUGGAAAAUAAGACAUAUUGCUAUUGUGGAAAGGAUUAAAUGAUAUAGCGCCUUUAUCAGGGUAUAAUAGAAUUUAGAGGAAUUUGGCCAAACUCAUUGCCAUGGAGAUGGAUGAGUCAGGAGCCAGCCAUGCUGGCUAACACCGAGAGUUGAAAAUACCAGAAACUAUUUUUAAGCAGAAAAAGGACUUAUUAAAGAAUAUUAGGUAGCUCAUUGGUGAUGCAGGCAGGAAUGUCAUCAGAUUACCCUGCAUGUUCAGUCUGGUAGAGGCAGCACUACUGCCUCCAUUGAACAUGGGCAACUCAGAUCUUACUCCCAAACCUGGCCAGCGGAGGCUGCCACUAGAAGCUCUGCCUUUGCUUUCUUUGGAAGAUGGAUUCUUCUAUCAAUAUUCUUCACCAAAAUGACUCAGUGUGGCAUCUGUUCUUUAUAUUCUUAUCUUCUGAAUCUGCUUCUUGCAGGUAUCUGUGGUUGACAGCUCUUAGAUCACAUGUCUUCAUCCACGGUAGUAGAUUGGAUUAUUGUUCCCAUCUAUUUUCCCCCAUUUUGUAAGGGAAUGUCUAAUUCCAUCCAUCACCUUAUGACUCACAUUGUGUCCCUAUAGGUGAAGAAUAUGUCCGCAGGCCAUUAUGAGACUUGACAAUGUGACUGUCUUGGGUCAUUGGAAUGAGAGCCGAGGUGAAGUGUUUUAGUUCCCUACAGAAGCUUUAUGAGACACUGCAUGUUUGUACCACCUCUUGGUGUUUUUCCUCUACCGCAAUAAAGACAUGUCCCAACGAAGAGCCCCUCCUUCAGCUUGAGUCCUGGAUGAGAAAACAUGUGGAUCAGAGUCCCAGAAGUCCACCUGCAGCCAACGACAUGAUGUGUAAAUGAGAAAUGUUUGUUGUUUAAGUCUCUGUGAUCUUGGAGUUUUUCUAAUAGUAGAAAAACUGAUUAAUUAGUUAGGAAGGUGAGUUUAUGGCUUUCAUCUUGGGGAGAUGUAGAAUCAUAAGGAGGGAAAUCCCUGAAACGUAGGAAGAUCAAUCCAAGUGCUGAGUGGCCACAGUAAAUGACAAAUGUCCACUAUAAACACAGACUCUACAUUCACAAAAUUUAGAAAACACACAGAAGCACUCAGAACAAAAUGUGGCCACCUCAUUGUACAAUAGCAUUUCUCCUGUCAAAGAGAAGUUCAAAUCCACUUUCCAUUGCUGGCCACAGUCCUAAAAGAGAAAUAUAAUGUUAUCUGGGGAGGGGGCAGAAAGGAAAACCAGGAAGGAAAAAAAAGGAUUGAUGGUUUCAAGUUUUCAAAAUUGUUUUGUCAACCUGUGCUCAUUGUUUGGUAUCUAGAGCCAAAUUCAGGAAUAUGUCUAGUCAAGUAGUUAAGAGUGAUACUAUGAUUCCCAUACAAUGUGAGAAAAAAAUUUGUCUAUAUAAACAAUCUCCCUUUUGAGGGGAACAGUAAAUGAAGUAUUUUUGUUUUCUCAAUUUAGAAAAUUUCAAUGUACCAUUUGUCUUCUAAGUAUUAUCAUGCAUAUUGCCAAACUUCUGCAUUUUCCUUUCUAUCUCCUCUUUGUCCCCUAUGCUCCAAGCAUCCUAAUUGCAGCAUUGAGACUAUGCUCUGUCUCGGGAUACAAGAUCUACUUUCUUUUCAGCAGGAUGCAUUAUGUUCAACAAAAAGAAAUUUCAAACAAAGUUUAGGGCCCAACAUUUUCUACAGUCCUUGUUACCUGCUUUUUUCUCUGAAUGUAUCUACUGUAGGAUUUCAAGGACUCUUUAGCUCUUUGCCAAAGUGGCUACCACUGCUACUUCCUGCAAUGGAAUUCCUUAAUUAGGUCUGUGAGUCUGGCCUUAAAGGAGAGGUCCCCCCCUCCUAUUAUUUUCCACAUUCAUGACCUAGAAAAUCAUAAUCAACUGAUUUCUGAACCUGAGCUGCUGUUUUCUUCCAGAGUCUACACCUUCAGGGACCCAGAGAGGCCUAUCCUUGUGUAUAUAUGUCUUCCUAUAUUCUUGCUUUUCCUCACUGAGCUUUCAUAUUUUCUAGAACGUCUAUAAAUAUUGCCACUCCUUUUCCUGCGUAGUAAGAUAUGACUCUAACGUCCUUUAAUAUUUCAUUUCCCUCGUUUUAUUUCCUGUCAGUUAAGGCAAGUCCGGCAAUUUUCUUUUAAUCUUGUAACGCUGGCUCCAUUUUUUCUCUACCACUUGUAGGAGCAACACAUUUACUGGACCAGAAUGUCUUCCAGUGCUCCCUCACUUUCUCUUUCAACUCAACGCCUAAGGAAGAUCCUCUCCUCCUUCAAUUCCUGAUACAUUCAGUUUGCGUACUACCACUUCUAAAACUCCUAGAACCUGGUCCAGUUGCUUCCUCAUGCUGCUGACUAUACAACAUGCUGUUGGUCACCGUAACAAGAAUAACCUGAUGGAACGAUAAGAAUGGAAGUAUAUUCUUUGAUUCAGAGUGGUUGUAAAAGGCCACAGAGAUCAAGGUAGUAGAUAGAUGGGCACUCUGAGUAUUUGCUAAGGUGAAAGAUUCAGCAGAGAACAAGAGGCUGAAGAUACAUAUGAGAUAUGAAUUGAAGGGAGGAGAUCCCAGAAGAUAUGAGUGGGAGGGGGAGGAGAGAUGGGGUUCCGAGCAUAGGUGGAGAGAUUGUCUUAGAAAGGAGAGAUACCUCACUCUGUAUACAGAAAAGAGACAAGAAUAGGUAUAGAUAUUUUUAUAGCUGAAGAGACUCAAACCUAAGAUCUUCAGUUUCUCCAUGAGGAAGAUGUGUAGCAGAUGUUAUGGGACCAUGCCCUCAAUGUCCUACUACAAGCCUGUGACUCUUACCUGAAGUAUUUCCCUUGAUGUGCCAUGUGUGGCGGGCCAGAAGUGCCAGAGAGUUAAUAGCUCCUGGGGUGUCCCUUAAUCAAUGAAAAAUGAAAGUUGGAGGAUAACUACCCAAACUUCUUUACUUGGGUAGUAUAAUAAUGUGGUAUGUUCUUCACUGUCUCCCAGAGAUGCCUACUAGAAUCGAGUCUCAGCUUCCCCUAGUGAUAACCUGCUUGAUAAUGCACACUUUAUUGACUUCCUUUCUGUCAUUUUCUCACUUCCUAACAUUCCUAAUAUUUCAUCCUGGGAUCACCUCCCAAAUAAACUACUUGAACUCAAA
This is a non-coding RNA of Equus caballus (horse), 4070 nucleotides long. The record is from RefSeq and is a predicted model, not a curated record. NCBI's taxonomy places the organism in Eukaryota, Metazoa, Chordata, Mammalia, Perissodactyla, Equidae.